GACGAACGCUGGCGGCGUGCUUAACACAUGCAAGUCGAACGGAAAGGCCCUGCUUUUGUGGGGUGCUCGAGUGGCGAACGGGUGAGUAACACGUGAGUAACCUGCCCUUGACUUUGGGAUAACUUCAGGAAACUGGGGCUAAUACCGGAUAGGAGCUCCUGCUGCAUGGUGGGGGUUGGAAAGUUUCGGCGGUUGGGGAUGGACUCGCGGCUUAUCAGCUUGUUGGUGGGGUAGUGGCUUACCAAGGCUUUGACGGGUAGCCGGCCUGAGAGGGUGACCGGCCACAUUGGGACUGAGAUACGGCACAGACUCCUACGGGAGGCAGAAGUGGGAAAUAUUGCACAAUGGGCGGAAGCCUGAUGCAGCAACGCCGCGUGCGGGAUGACGGCCUUCGGGUUGUAAACCGCUUUCGCCUGUGACGAAGCGUGAGUGACGGUAAUGGGUAAAGAAGCACCGGCUAACUACGUG
This 468-nucleotide ribosomal RNA is filed under the name uncultured bacterium. Its description in RNAcentral is "partial 16S ribosomal RNA". It matches the Rfam family "Bacterial small subunit ribosomal RNA", at positions 28 to 507 of the family's 1533-position model. The record is from RNAcentral.